GUCAACGGGAUAAAGGGUAGCAACAAUAAUUUAAGGGUAAAAAUAAUCCUACAAUGGCAAAGAGGACAUGUGCAGGUUUGUUGACACUGUCCCUCAUCUUCUGGCAGGCAGCAAUGUAGUGCUCUGCCAACCCACAGCUCUCUGUGUCCUCCCCCAACAGGACAGGUAGCCUAUCCUCAUCAGAGAGGUCUUCAAUGUAGUGCACUGCCAACCCACAGCUCUCUGUGUCCUCAUCAGAGAGGUCUUCAAUGUAGUGCGCUGCCAACCCACAGCUCUCUGUGUCCUCCCCCAACAGGACAGGUAGCCUAUCCUCAUCAGAGAGGUCUUCAAUGUAGUGCACUGCCAACCCACAGCUCUCUGUGUCCUCCCCCAACAGGACGGGUAGCCUAUCCUCAUCAGAGAGGUCUUCAAUGUAGUGCGCUGCCAACCCACAGCUUUCUGUGUCCUCCCCCAACAGGACAGGUAGCCUGUCCUCAUCAGAGAGGUCUUCAAUGUAGUGCUCUGCCAACCCACAGCUCUCUGUGUCCUCCCCCAACAGGAC
Molecule: long non-coding RNA, 541 nt
Organism: Oncorhynchus tshawytscha (Chinook salmon)
Lineage: Eukaryota; Metazoa; Chordata; Actinopteri; Salmoniformes; Salmonidae
Source: Ensembl